GAUGAACGCUAGCGGCAGGCCUAACACAUGCAAGUCGAGGGGUAACAGGGAAAGCUUGCAAUCCGCUGACGACCGGCGCACGGGUGCGUAACGCGUAUAGAACCUACCUUCUACUGGGGGAUAGCCCAGAGAAAUUUGGAUUAAUACCCCAUGGUAUUGAUAUCUGGCAUCGGAUAUUGAUUAAAGGUUACGGUAGAAGAUGGCUAUGCGUCCUAUUAGUUAGUUGGUAAGGUAACGGCUUACCAAGACAUCGAUAGGUAGGGGCCCUGAGAGGGGGAUCCCCCACACUGGUACUGAGACACGGACCAGACUCCUACGGGAGGCAGCAGUGAGGAAUAUUGGACAAUGGGCGAAGCCUGAUCCAGCCAUGCCGCGUGCAGGAAGACAGCCCCUAUGGGUUGUAAAACUGCUUUUUUAUACAGGAAGAAUAAGAGGUAUGUAUACCUCGAUGACGGUACUGUAAGAAUAAGGACCGGCU
This 478-nucleotide ribosomal RNA is filed under the name uncultured bacterium. RNAcentral describes it as "bacterial SSU rRNA". It matches the Rfam family "Bacterial small subunit ribosomal RNA", at positions 28 to 498 of the family's 1533-position model. The record is from RNAcentral.